Molecule: ribosomal RNA, 253 nt
Filed under: uncultured bacterium
Lineage: Bacteria
Description: partial 16S ribosomal RNA
Rfam family: Bacterial small subunit ribosomal RNA
Source: RNAcentral
UACGUAGGGUGCGAGCGUUAAUCGGAAUUACUGGGCGUAAAGCGUGCGCAGGCGGUUUUGUAAGCCAGAUGUGAAAUCCCCGGGCUCAACCUGGGAAUGGCAUUUGGGACUGCAAGGCUUGAGUGCGGCAGAGGAGACUGGAAUUCCUGGUGUAGCAGUGAAAUGCGUAGAUAUCAGGAGGAACACCGAUGGCGAAGGCAGGUCUCUGGGCUGACACUGACGCUCAUGCACGAAAGCGUGGGGAGCAAACAGG